GGCGAGCACUCUAGACGAACUGCCGUUGACAAAACGGAGGAAGUGGGGAUGACGUCAAAUCAUCAUGCCCCUUAUGUUCUGGGCUACACACGUGCUACAAUGGCCGGUACAGACGGACGCAAAGCCGCGAGGUGGAGCAAAUCCUAAAAAGCCGGUCUCAGUUCGGAUUGCAGGCUGCAAUUCGCCUGCAUGAAGUCGGAAUCGCUAGUAAUCGCAGGUCAGCAUACUGCGGUGAAUACGUUCCCGGGCCUU
Molecule: ribosomal RNA, 252 nt
Filed under: uncultured Bacillus sp.
Lineage: Bacteria; Bacillati; Bacillota; Bacilli; Caryophanales; Bacillaceae
Description: partial 16S ribosomal RNA
Rfam family: Bacterial small subunit ribosomal RNA
Source: RNAcentral